Molecule: ribosomal RNA, 284 nt
Filed under: uncultured bacterium
Lineage: Bacteria
Description: partial 16S ribosomal RNA
Rfam family: Bacterial small subunit ribosomal RNA
Source: RNAcentral
UGGGGAAUAUUGCACAAUGGGCGCAAGCCUGAUGCAGCCAUGCCGCGUGUGUGAAGAAGGCCUUCGGGUUGUAAAGCACUUUCAGCGAGGAGGAAGGGUUCAGUGUUAAUAGCACUGUUCAUUGACGUUACUCGCAGAAGAAGCACCGGCUAACUCCGUGCCAGCAGCCGCGGUAAUACGGAGGGUGCAAGCGUUAAUCGGAAUUACUGGGCGUAAAGCGCACGCAGGCGGUUUGUUAAGUCAGAUGUGAAAUCCCCGCGCUUAACGUGGGAACUGCAUUUGAA